UGGGGAAUAUUGCACAAUGGAGGAAACUCUGAUGCAGCGACGCCGCGUGAGUGAAGAAGUAUUUCGGUAUGUAAAGCUCUAUCAGCAGGGAAGACAGUGACGGUACCUGACUAAGAAGCUCCGGCUAAAUACGUGCCAGCAGCCGCGGUAAUACGUAGGUGGCGAGCGUUAUCCGGAAUUAUUGGGCGUAAAGAGGGAGCAGGCGGCACUAAGGGUCUGUGGUGAAAGAUCGAAGCUUAACUUCGGUAAGCCAUGGAAACCGUAGAGCUAGAGUGUGUGAGAGGAUCGUGGAAUUCCAUGUGUAGCGGUGAAAUGCGUAGAUAUAUGGAGGAACACCAGUGGCGAAGGCGACGAUCUGGCGCAUAACUGACGCUCAGUCCCGAAAGCGUGGGGAGCAAAUAGGAUUAGAUACCCUAGUAGUCCACGCCGUAAACGAUGAGUACUAAGUGUUGGGUGUCAAAGCUCAGUGCUGCAGUUAACGCAAUAAGUACUCCGCCUGAGUAGUACGUUCGCAAGAAUGAAACUCAAAGGAAUUGACGGGGGCCCGCACAAGCGGUGGAGCAUGUGGUUUAAUUCGAAGCAACGCGAAGAACCUUACCAGGUCUUGACAUCGAUCUAAAGGCUCCAGAGAUGGAGAGAUAGCUAUAGAGAAGACAGGUGGUGCAUGGUUGUCGUCAGCUCGUGUCGUGAGAUGUUGGGUUAAGUCCCGCAACGAGCGCAACCCCUGUUGCCAGUUGCCAGCAUUAAGUUGGGGACUCUGGCGAGACUGCCGGUGACAAGCCGGAGGAAGGCGGGGAUGACGUCAAAUCAUCAUGCCCCUUAUGACCUGGGCUACACACGUGCUACAAUGGACAGAGCAGAGGGAAGCGAAGCCGCGAGGUGGAGCGAAACCCAUAAAACUGUUCUCAGUUCGGACUGCAGUCUGCAACUCGACUGCACGAAGAUGGAAUCGCUAGUAAUCGCGAAUCAGCAUGUCGCGGUGAAUACGUUCUC
Molecule: ribosomal RNA, 993 nt
Filed under: uncultured bacterium
Lineage: Bacteria
Description: bacterial SSU rRNA
Rfam family: Bacterial small subunit ribosomal RNA
Source: RNAcentral